GUGACCUGCGGAAAGGAUCAUUG
This 23-nucleotide ribosomal RNA is filed under the name Pisonia capitata. RNAcentral's name for it is "partial 18S ribosomal RNA". Lineage: Eukaryota; Viridiplantae; Streptophyta; Magnoliopsida; Caryophyllales; Nyctaginaceae. The record is from RNAcentral.